Long non-coding RNA from Phyllostomus discolor (pale spear-nosed bat), 1717 nucleotides. RefSeq lists it as uncharacterized. The record is from RefSeq and is a predicted model, not a curated record. The transcript is spliced from 7 exons. Lineage: Eukaryota; Metazoa; Chordata; Mammalia; Chiroptera; Phyllostomidae.
UUUAAUCUGGCAGCCCUAGACAAGAAUAACAUGUGUACUCCCUCCUAACCAUUUACAGUGUGCAUUUACAGGGUGCUUUCACAGCGCUCCCUGUGUGGGGACUGGUGCUAACCCAUGUUCUGAUUUAACCGAAAGGCACUUGCUCAUCCUUACAGAACCGGCUUUAUUAUGAUCAAGGUUGUAUAAGUCACAGUUUCCUGUUGAAAAGAUUCAGAAGGUGAUUCUGGCACUUGAGUACUAUCUGGAAGCAACUCGUCAUGCCUGCUUUGUGGAAUCAGUGCUCAAAGUGAAAAGCAGAAAAAUGCAGACUGUUGCAGCACGUGCUGGUUAUGGGUACUCCAGGGAGAACAAGGGGUGUUAGAUAAAAGAUAUCUUUGACCCCACCCAGGUUACCACACCACAUUUCAUUGUCAGGUCUCCUGUUGGCUGUGGCACUUGGUCAGAUUUUCUGUGUUCACAAUGACCGUGGCGGUUUUAAGGAGCAUCGGUCCUGUUGUUUGUGGAAUGCCCCUGUAUUGACGUUUGUCUGAGGUUUGUCUGAAGGUUAGACUGGUGUUAGGGCUUUUUUUGGGAGGAAGACCACAGGGGUAAAGUGCCACUUGCUCAUUAUAGCAAGAUUUGGAUUGUUGACAUUGACCUUGACCGCCUGACUGAAGUAGUAGUUGUGAGGCGUCUCCAUUGUGAAGUUCCCCUUCUCCCUCCGGCUCCAUACCACUGUCUUUGGGAAGAAGUCGUUAUGUGUGACCCACACAUAAGUAAGGCUUUUUAAAAAAAAUUUUCCAAAGUGGAUCAAGGUGCUUGUUUUGGGUGAAGCAAAUAAAUAUGUGGAGACACAGGAUUAAGGCUCAAGUCACAAGAUUUACCAGAAAUUAACCCAAGUUGUGUUGCUUUCUGCCUGAUUCCAGUCACUCUGCUGCUGGUCAUCCGUUCGUGAGAUCCAUUUCAAACUGUGGUGAAGAAGGAAGAAUCGGCCCUGAAAGAGGUUGAUUUUGAGGAGAAGAUUUUAAGUUGUCUUUGUCAGCUCGAGCUAUGGGAUGAGGAGGAUAGAGGCCACACUCCACAGUGAGCCAUAUGCUGUCUAUGAAGUUCAUUACUAUUUCGUGGCCCAGAAGAGUGUGCAGCAGUUGAUUUUGAAUCCGAACAACUGCAGGAGGAACACGUGGGAGGAAAGCCGUGGCCGACGGCAUUGAAGAACCCCAGGGGACGCUCCACGAUGCUGAGGCUCCGCCACACUGCAGGGAAGGAGAUUUCGGGAAAGGUGGCUGGUCCACACCAUAAUUCCUGGGGCGAGGCAGUUCCGAAUGCAGCGCUCGCUGCUGCCCAGUAGGCGUCCACACGUCCACACGUGCUUCCUUCUUUGGAAAUACUUGCAUCUUGUCUCAGUGUUGAUCACAGAUCAGAAAUACAGGUUUGACAGAAGACGACUUUAGUCAUGGGCUCCGUGAGGAAAGUCAUGGGCUUGUCCUCUUCCAGGUUACGCUGUCAGGUUGCGUGUGAAAGAUGGGGUUGUAGAGUCUUUCCUAGAUGUUUAUUUCCUGGUUCUAUAAAAUGGUUAUACUGAGUGUUUUCUAUCACUUAAUAAUAUACUUUUGGACUGAAAGAUGUGUGCUACAUGAAAGCAGCUAAUUACAUUCAACUAGUGUAUCUGCCUUUCUUGUGUCAUCAGACUGAAUAGAACAAAUGUUGAAUGAUUUUGUAAAGAAAAUACUUGAAUUCA